Molecule: ribosomal RNA, 490 nt
Filed under: uncultured bacterium
Lineage: Bacteria
Description: partial 16S ribosomal RNA
Rfam family: Bacterial small subunit ribosomal RNA
Source: RNAcentral
AUUGAACGCUGGCGGCAGGCCUAACACAUGCAAGUCGAACGGUAACAGGAAGAAGCUUGCUUCUUUGCUGACGAGUGGCGGACGGGUGAGUAAUGUCUGGGAAACUUCCUGAUGGAGGGGGAUAACUACUGGAAACGGUAGCUAAUACCGCAUAACGUCGCAAGACCAAAGAGGGGGACCUUCGGGCCUCUUGCCAUCGGAUGUGCCCAGAUGGGAUUAGCUAGUAGGUGGGGUAACGGCUCACCUAGGCGACGAUCCCUAGCUGGUCUGAGAGGAUGACCAGCCACACUGGGACUGAGACACGGUCCAGACUCCUACGGGAGGCAGCAGUGGGGAAUAUUGCACAAUGGGCGCAAGCCUGAUGCAGCCAUGCCGCGUGUAUGAAGAAGGCCUUCGGGUUGUAAAGUACUUUCAGCGGGGAGGAAGGGAGUAAAGUUAAUACCUUUGCUCAUUGACGUUACCCGCAGAAGAAGCACCGGCUAACUCCGUG